CGGGCAUCGUAUAAUGGCUAUUACCUCAGCCUUCCAAGCUGAUGAUGCGGGUUCGAUUCCCGCUGCCACAACCC
Molecule: transfer RNA, 74 nt
Filed under: Escherichia coli
Lineage: Bacteria; Pseudomonadati; Pseudomonadota; Gammaproteobacteria; Enterobacterales; Enterobacteriaceae
Description: tRNA-Gly
Rfam family: tRNA (bases 3-67)
About the family: Transfer RNA (tRNA) molecules are approximately 80 nucleotides in length. Their secondary structure includes four short double-helical elements and three loops (D, anti-codon, and T loops). Further hydrogen bonds mediate the characteristic L-shaped molecular structure. tRNAs have two regions of fundamental functional importance: the anti-codon, which is responsible for specific mRNA codon recognition, and the 3' end, to which the tRNAs corresponding amino acid is attached (by aminoacyl-tRNA synthetases). tRNAs cope with the degeneracy of the genetic code in two manners: having more than one tRNA (with a specific anti-codon) for a particular amino acid; and 'wobble' base-pairing, i.e. permitting non-standard base-pairing at the 3rd anti-codon position.
Source: RNAcentral